AGAAAAUGGCUCAACUUCUCUUCAAACUCAUAAACACUCAAACCUAAGCUUUUUCACUUCAAAACCUUCAAAAACUUUUGAAAACCAACACACACUUUGCAUGAGCUGGGCUUGCAAAUAAAGCAUGGGAGACGUGGCCAAUCUUCUGGACAGGGUUUGGAGCCAACACCUGUCCAAAAUGCUGACUAAGGAAGGCUCAAUAGGUGGCUAGCCA
This 214-nucleotide long non-coding RNA is filed under the name Manihot esculenta (cassava). RNAcentral describes it as "long non-coding RNA (MESC_LNC004593)". Lineage: Eukaryota; Viridiplantae; Streptophyta; Magnoliopsida; Malpighiales; Euphorbiaceae. The record is from RNAcentral.